GGACGAACGCUGGCGGCGUGCCUAAUACAUGCAAGUCGAACGGUCUUUUCUAUGGAAGCUUGCUUCCACUGAGAAGAUAGUGGCGAACGGGUGAGUAACACGUGGGGUAACCUGCCCAUAAGAGGGGGAUAACAUCCGGAAACGGGUGCUAAUACCGCAUAGUUUUCUUGAUCGCAUGAUCGGGAAAGGAAAGACGGCCUUUGUGCUGUCGCUUAUGGAUGGACCCGCGGCGUAUUAGUUAGUUGGUGAGGUAACGGCUCACCAAGACGAUGAUACGUAGCCGACCUGAGAGGGUGAUCGGCCACAUUGGGACUGAGACACGGCCCAAACUCCUACGGGAGGCAGCAGUAGGGAAUCUUCCGCAAUGGACGAAAGUCUGACGGAGCAACGCCGCGUGAGUGAAGAAAGGUUUUCGGAUCGUAAAACUCUGUUGUCAGAGAAGAACAAGUUGGAGAGUAACUGCUCCAGCCUUGACGGUAUCUGACCAGAAAGCCACGGCUAACUACGUGCCAGCCGCAGC
This 520-nucleotide ribosomal RNA is filed under the name uncultured bacterium. Its description in RNAcentral is "bacterial SSU rRNA". It matches the Rfam family "Bacterial small subunit ribosomal RNA", at positions 27 to 518 of the family's 1533-position model. The record is from RNAcentral.